GACAUAGGUGGCGAUCGUUAUCCGGAAUUAUUGGGCGUAAAGGGUGCGUAGAUGGUCUGAUAAGUUAUCAGUGGUAAAUCGGGGCUCAACCUCGUGGAAGCUGGUAAUACUGUUAUACUUGAGUACAGGAGAGGUUAAUGGAAUUCCCUGUGGAGCGGUAAAAUGCGUUAGAUAUAGGGAAGAACACCAAUAACGGCGAAGGCAAUUAACUAUGCUGAUACUGACAUUGAGGCACGAAAGCGUGGGGAGCAAAAAGG
This 257-nucleotide ribosomal RNA is filed under the name uncultured bacterium. RNAcentral describes it as "partial 16S ribosomal RNA". It matches the Rfam family "Bacterial small subunit ribosomal RNA", at positions 524 to 776 of the family's 1533-position model. The record is from RNAcentral.